This 424-nucleotide ribosomal RNA is filed under the name uncultured prokaryote. RNAcentral describes it as "bacterial SSU rRNA". It matches the Rfam family "Bacterial small subunit ribosomal RNA", at positions 355 to 776 of the family's 1533-position model. The record is from RNAcentral.
UGAGGAAUAUUGGACAAUGGAUGGAAAUCUGAUCCAGCCAUGCCGCGUGCAGGAAGACGGCCCUAUGGGUUGUAAACUGCUUUUAUACGGGAGCAAUAAGGUCUAUGCAUAGAUUGAUGAGAGUACCGUAUGAAUAAGCAUCGGCUAACUCCGUGCCAGCAGCCGCGGUAAUACGGAGGAUCCGAGCGUUAUCCGGAUUUAUUGGGUUUAAAGGGUGCGCAGGCGGGAGAUUAAGUCGGCGGUGAAAUUUUGCAGCUCAACUGUAAAAGUGCCUUCGAAACUGGUUUUCUUGAGUGUAGAUGAAGUAGGCGGAAUUUGUGGUGUAGCGGUGAAAUGCAUAGAUAUCACGAGGAACUCCGAUUGCGCAGGCAGCUUACUAAGCUACAACUGACGCUCAUGCACGAAGGCGUGGGGAUCAAACAGG